RNAcentral lists this long non-coding RNA (279 nucleotides) under Elaeis guineensis (African oil palm). RNAcentral describes it as "long non-coding RNA (EGUI_LNC023430)". Lineage: Eukaryota; Viridiplantae; Streptophyta; Magnoliopsida; Arecales; Arecaceae. The record is from RNAcentral.
GAAGCAGUGAGGAGUAUGCCAGUAGGCAGCAGAGGCUCCGACAGAACUAGACUAUCCAGCAGAAUCUGAUCAGGUACACGGGUGGCUCUAUCGACACACAUAUUGUGGUCAACAGACAUGUAAGAAAUCUAUACCAAACUCUUCACUAGAACCGUAAAACUCUUAUAUGUAUAUUUUAAUUAAUUUAAUUUUAUUAUUUACUUAUUGUAAAUACAGCAGCUAGAUCAUCCACCAAGCCAGCUAUAGUUGUGGGAGGCCAUACACUAGUCUAGGAGGAUU